UGGGGAAUAUUGCACAAUGGGCGCAAGCCUGAUGCAGCCAUGCCGCGUGUGUGAAGAAGGCCUUCGGGUUGUAAAGCACUUUCAGCGGGGAGGAAGGCGAUAAGGUUAAUAACCUUGUCGAUUGACGUUACCCGCAGAAGAAGCACCGGCUAACUCCGUGCCAGCAGCCGCGGUAAUACGGAGGGUGCAAGCGUUAAUCGGAAUUACUGGGCGUAAAGCGCACGCAGGCGGUCUGUCAAGUCGGAUGUGAAAUCCCCGGGCUCAACCUGGGAACUGCAUUCGAAACUGGCAGGCUAGAGUCUUGUAGAGGGGGGUAGAAUUCCAGGUGUAGCGGUGAAAUGCGUAGAGAUCUGGAGGAAUACCGGUGGCGAAGGCGGCCCCCUGGACAAAGACAGACGCUCAGGUGCGAAAGCGUGGGGAGCAAACAGG
RNAcentral lists this ribosomal RNA (429 nucleotides) under Chloroflexota bacterium. RNAcentral describes it as "Chloroflexi bacterium partial 16S ribosomal RNA". It matches the Rfam family "Bacterial small subunit ribosomal RNA", at positions 355 to 776 of the family's 1533-position model. The record is from RNAcentral. Lineage: Bacteria; Bacillati; Chloroflexota.